RNAcentral lists this transfer RNA (77 nucleotides) under Glutamicibacter nicotianae. RNAcentral describes it as "tRNA-Ile". It matches the Rfam family "tRNA". Rfam says of the family: Transfer RNA (tRNA) molecules are approximately 80 nucleotides in length. Their secondary structure includes four short double-helical elements and three loops (D, anti-codon, and T loops). Lineage: Bacteria; Bacillati; Actinomycetota; Actinomycetes; Micrococcales; Micrococcaceae. The record is from RNAcentral. RNAcentral also lists the same sequence under 8 other names.
GGGGAGUUAGCUCAGUUGGUUAGAGCAGGGGACUCAUAAUCCCUUGGUCGUCGGUUCAAGUCCGUCACUCCCUACCA